AGUAAAGAUACUAAUGCAUAUGGUGGAUGCCUUGGGUAUUCGCGCCGAUGAAGGAGGUGCUAAGCUGCCAUAAGCCUCGAGGAGUUGCUACGAAACGUUAUUACUCGGGGACUUCCGAAUGGGGAAACCCAACCCGCUUAUAAGGCGAGGUUACUAAUUACUGAAAGUUGCGCAAGCGACCAUAGGUAAUUUAGAGGGAACUCGGCGAACUGAAACAACUUAGUAGCCGGAGGAAAAGAAACCAAAUCAGGUAUUCUCCUAGUAGCGGCGAGCGAACGGGGAACAGCCCAAACCCAUAUUAAUAUUGGGGGUAUAGACAAUCCUAAUGUUUGAUCAUAGAAGAGUUAACUAAAUUUUUUUCGUAGAAGAAGCCUUCUGGAAAGAAGCGCCAUAGAGGGUAACAGCCCCGUAUUUGAAACGAAAAAAACUCUUGGGUUGAUCUUGAGUAGCACGGGACACGUGUAACCCUGUGUGAAGAAACGACGUCCACGUCGUAAGGCUAAAUACGCGAAUACACCGAUAGCGCAUAGUACCGUGAGGGAAAGGUGAAAAGAACCCCUGUUAGGGGAGUGAAAUAGAUACUGAAACCGUAUGCAGACAAGCUGGCAAAGCCCGCAAGGGUAAUGCCGUGCCUAUUGAAGAAUGAGCCAACGAGUUAAUAGAUUGGGCAAGCUUAAGCCGUAACAGCGGCGGAGGCGUAGGGAAACCGAGUCUUAAUAGGGCGACCAGUCCAUUUUAUUAGACCCGAAGCCAGGUGAGCUAACCAUGGCCAGGAUGAAACCCUGCGAAAUCAGGGUGAAGGUCCGAACCGUUGUAUGAGGAAAAAUGCUCGGAUGAGCUGUGGUUAGGGGUGAAACGCUAAUCGAACUUGGCAAUAGCUGGUUCUCCCCGAAAUAUAUUUAGGUAUAGCCCUUGNNCCUUGUUUAUAACUUUGCGAGGUAGAGAUACUGAAAGGGGAUGGGGCGCGCAAGUGUACCCACCCCUACCAAACUCCGAAUGCGCAAAGUGUUCCAAGGAGUCAGUGCUGCGGGGAAAUCUCGUGGCACGAAAGGGAAACAACCCGGACCAUCAGCUAAGGUCCCUAAAUUAUGCUUAGUGGGCAAGGAAGUGAGAUCGUUAAGACAGCUAGGAGGUUGGCUUAGAAGCAGCCACCCUUUAAAGAUAGCGUAACAGCUCACUAGUUGAACGAUUUCGCGCCGACGAUUUAACGGGGCUCAAGCAUAAUACCGAAGCUAUGGAUUUGCUGUUUUUAACAGCGAGUGGUAGGGGAGCUUUGAUGCAGCAGUGAAGGUGUACCCGUGAGGGGCGCUGGAGCGGCAUCAAGUGAGAAUGUUGGCAUGAGUAACGUAAGGGUGGUGAAAACCCACCCCACCGAAAGUCUAAGGGUUCCUCCGCAAUGUCAGUCAUCGGAGGGUUAGUCGACCCUAAGGGGAGGCCGAAAGGCGUACCUGAUGGAUAGCAGGUUAAUAUUCCUGCACUUUUGUAAGACCGUUACUACCGAAGGGAGGACGGAGCAUGAUGGACCAAGCUCAUUAAGGAUUUGAGUCCCAAAAGCAAGGCAGCUUGUGUAGGUAAAUCCGCACAGGCGUUACGUCGAGCUAAGGGAAAGUCUGCCGCAAGGCGGAUAAUUUGGUGUCACGCAAGCUUCCAAGAAAAUUCUCUAGGGAGGUCUUACAAUAUUCGUACCGUAAACCGACACAGGUAGAUGAGUAGAGGAUACUAAGGUGAACGAGCGAAUCGUGGUUGAGGAACUAGGCAAAUUACAUCCGUAACUUAGGGAAAAGGAUGCCCUGCCACGAACCUACGCAAGUAGGGAGUCGGUAGGGGGCACAAAAAUGGCUCAAGCGACUGUUUAACAAAAACAUAGGUCUCUGCUAAACCAGUAAUGGGAUGUAUAGGGGCCGAUGCCUGCCCAGUGCCCGUAGGUCAAGAUCGGGGGUGAUUUCCAACUUCGGUUGGAAUGAGCUUUUGGUUUAAGCCCGGGUGAACGGCAGCAGUAACUAUAACUGUUCUAUGGUGAAUUUACGCGCCGCCAUAGUGGGGAGCUAAGCUCUCCCGUUUGGAUGUGCCCAAACGCAACCUGACUAUAUGCUGGAAACUCCGUCCAUACUUCUUUAUUGAAGAUAUGGUGUCUCUANNUAGUUGGUUUUACAGAUGGAGAAGGUGCUUUCACAGUUAGCAUCUUGAAAAAUUCCACAAGCAAAACCGGCUGGCAAGUGUUUCCCGAAUUUAUUAUUACUCAGGGAGCACGAAGCAAGGAUGUUCUUUAUUUGUUCAAAGAAUUUUUCGCUUGUGGAAAUGUUUAUCUUAAUAGAAGACAUGAUAACCACAACGAAGAUCUUUACAGAUACUGUGUCAGAUCCAUAAAAGAUUUACAGAACGUGAUAAUUCCAUUCUUCUCAAGGAUCGUUUUACGAUCGGAUAAGAGGAAAGAUUUUUCAUUGUUUUGCAAAGUGAUGGGUUUGAUAAGUAAUAAGGAACAUCUCAGUAUUGCAGGUUUGUUUAAAAUUGCCGGGCUGGCAAUGAAAAUGAACCGUAAAGUCAGACCCAAAUUCUUAGAAUCCUCACUCACUAUACGUCAGGCCUCUGAAGGUUCAGAGGAAGAGAUAGUGGCGUCUGCAUGGCGACAUGCAGGAAUCAAUUCUUAGGGAAAGAAUGAUUCAAAAUUCGCGGAAACGCGAACGAAGAUUACAAGCGUAAUCCCUUGUCGGGUAAGUUCCGACCCGCACGAAAGGCAUAACGACUUGAGCACUCUCUUAAUCACGAGCUCGGUGAAAUUGAACUACCGGUGAAGAUGCCGGUUACUCGUUGUUGGACAAAAAGACCCCGUGGAGCUUUACUGUAGCUUGGUAUUGGUAAUCGGUGUUAAAUGUGUAGUGUAGGAGGGAGAUCCAUACUUGUAUGUAUCGUCAAUGAAACACCUCUCUUUUGGCUCUGAGAGCCUAACUACUCUGCAUUACCUGCAGAGGGGACAAUGCCUGGCGGGCAGUUUAUCUGGGGCGGAUUCCUGCUAAAGGAUAACGCAGGAGCCCAAAGGUUCUCUUAGCACCGAUGGAAAUGGUGCUGUAAGCGUAAAGGUAUAUGAGAGCUUGACUGCGAGACUUACAAGUCGAGCAGAUACGAAAGUAGGGCUUAGUGAUCUUCCGUGUGCCUAGUGGUAGGCCCGGAACUUAUCGGAUAAAAGUUACCCCGGGGAUAACAGGCUGAUCUUGCCCGAGCGUCCAUAGCGGCGGCAAGGUUUGGCACCUCGAUGUCGUCUCGUCACAUCCUGGNNNNNNNNNNNNNNNNNNNNNNNNNNNNNNNNNNNNNNNNNNNNNNNNNNNNNNNNNNNNNNNNNNNNNNNNNNNNNNNNNNNNNAAACCUCAAGAUUAAAGCCGUUCCGCUUUAAGCGGACACAAUUCCUGGGAGAUUACCAGGUUGAUAGGCCGUAGGUGUAAGCACAGCAAUGUGUUCAGCCAAGCGGUACUAAUAUUUUGUGAGUCUUUAUUUA
RNAcentral lists this ribosomal RNA (3490 nucleotides) under candidate division WWE3 bacterium. Its description in RNAcentral is "bacterial LSU rRNA". It matches the Rfam family "Bacterial large subunit ribosomal RNA". The record is from RNAcentral. Lineage: Bacteria; candidate division WWE3.